Molecule: ribosomal RNA, 478 nt
Filed under: uncultured bacterium
Lineage: Bacteria
Description: partial 16S ribosomal RNA
Rfam family: Bacterial small subunit ribosomal RNA
Source: RNAcentral
GACGAACGCUGGCGGCGUGCUUAACACAUGCAAGUCGAGCGAUGAAGUUCCUUCGGGAAUGGAUUAGCGGCGGACGGGUGAGUAACACGUGGGUAACCUGCCUCAUAGAGGGGAAUAGCCUUUCGAAAGGAAGAUUAAUACCGCAUAAGAUUGUAGCUUCGCGUGAAGUAGCAAUUAAAGGAGUAAUCCGCUAUGAGAUGGACCCGCGUCGCAUUAGCUAGUUAGUGAGGUAACGGCUCACCAAGGCGACGAUGCGUAGCCGACCUGAGAGGGUGAUCGGCCACAGUGGGACUGAGACACGGCCCAGACUCCUACGGGAGGCAGCAGUGGGGAAUAUUGCACAAUGGGGGAAACCCUGAUGCAGCAACGCCGCGUGAGUGAUGACGGUCUUCGGAUUGUAAAGCUCUGUCUUCAGGGACGAUAAUGACGGUACCUGAGGAGGAAGCCACGGCUAACUACGUGCCAGCCGCCGCUGUAA